GACGAACGCUGGCGGCGUGCUUAACACAUGCAAGUCGAACGAUGAAGCCGGAGCUUGCUCCGGUGGAUUAGUGGCGAACGGGUGAGUAACACGUGAGCAAUCUGCCCUUGACUCUGGGAUAACUGCGGGAAACUGUAGCUAAUACCGGAUACGACACCUUGGGGCAUCCCAGGGUGUGGAAAGAAUUUCGGUCAAGGAUGAGCGCGCGGCCUAUCAGCUAGUUGGUGAGGUAAUGGCUCACCAAGGCGACGACGGGUAGCCGGCCUGAGAGGGUGACCGGCCACACUGGAACUGAGACACGGUCCAGACUCCUACGGGAGGUAGCAGUGGGGAAUAUUGCACAAUGGGCGAAAGCCUGAUGCAGCAACGCCGCGUGAGGGAUGAAGGCCUUCGGGUUGUAAACCUCUUUUAGCAGGGAAGAAGCGAAAGUGACGGUACCUGCAGAAAAAGCACCGGCUAACUACGUGCCAGCCGCCGCGGUAA
This 483-nucleotide ribosomal RNA is filed under the name uncultured bacterium. Its description in RNAcentral is "partial 16S ribosomal RNA". It matches the Rfam family "Bacterial small subunit ribosomal RNA", at positions 28 to 523 of the family's 1533-position model. The record is from RNAcentral.